Molecule: long non-coding RNA, 905 nt
Organism: Gasterosteus aculeatus aculeatus (three-spined stickleback)
Lineage: Eukaryota; Metazoa; Chordata; Actinopteri; Perciformes; Gasterosteidae
Source: Ensembl
CAUUCACCCCCCCUCCCCCAGUUACGCCCAUCACAAUACAAACGGACAAAUGUCCACAUGAAUGUUAGUAAUGUUCACCAGCCAUGCAUACAGCGUAGCAGCAGUACGGCCCAUCUUUGGAAUAAGGAAUAUGUUGUUCCUAUAAACGUACUAAUGGUUGAUGAUCUCUGGCAACCAGUAGUAGUUGUUAAAGUGUCUUCCUGCCUGUCACCCGUUCCGCCGUUACCAGCUGAUCCCGAAGACCAACCAGGACACUGACGCGGCAUCUAAACCCCAGGAACUGUGUGUGCUGCCCGGGGAGACGACAGGAGGACUCUGGGGGGACGACGCUCCAGCAGACGGCAGUGAUCUCAGGACCUCGGGCCGUGCCAGGGAAAACACAGAGCCUGUGAGUGAAGGUUCCAUCAGACAGGAUGAAAGCCAGAUCCCUCCAGUCCUCCGGCACAGGAAGGCCGCUCGCUCCACCGAGUCCACGGGCGAUCGGCCAGCUGUGACAGCAGCGAGCAGCGGAGACGACAAUGGCGACUCCGACUCCGGGUGCAGUGACAGCUGGGAGCUCUACGUGCUGCUGCUGCUCUGGCUGCUGCUCUACUGCUUCUGGCUGCUGCCCCAGAUGGACCUGAAGACACUUCCCAGCCUGCUGCUCAACCUGGAGCCCUGAACGCACACACACACACACACACACACACACACACACGUAAAGCACCACCACCAAAUCGCACACUACAGUCCUGAAGAGGAGGAGUUGUUUUAGCUUUGUGCUGUGCAGCUUUCCAUGUGGCUCGGAGGCGUCUGUAUCUCCACGUUCUGGGGAAUAUUAUGAGAAAAGCGUUGUCGUUUUACAGGAUGAAAAGUCAUAACUUAUCAACAAUAACGUUUGAACUAUUCGUUAAGUCAGAUUAAAA